UGGUGGGAUACUACCCUGGCUGUAUGACCAUUCUAACCCGCCACGCUUAGCGCGUGGGGAGACAGUGUCAGGUGGGCAGUUUGACUGGGGCGGUCGCCUCCUAAAGAGUAACGGAGGCGCCCAAAGGUUCCCUCAGAAUGGAUGGAAAUCAUUCGCAGAGUGUAAAGGCACAAGGGAGCUUGACUGCGAGACUGACAAGUCGAGCAGGGACGAAAGUCGGGCUUAGUGAUCCGGUGGUUCCGCAUGGAAGGGCCAUCGCUCAACGGAUAAAAGCUACCCCGGGGAUAACAGGCUUAUCUCCCCCAAGAGUCCACAUCGACGGGGAGGUUUGGCACCUCGAUGUC
This 344-nucleotide ribosomal RNA is filed under the name Listeria monocytogenes. RNAcentral's name for it is "bacterial LSU rRNA". It matches the Rfam family "Bacterial large subunit ribosomal RNA", at positions 2190 to 2533 of the family's 2925-position model. Lineage: Bacteria; Bacillati; Bacillota; Bacilli; Caryophanales; Listeriaceae. The record is from RNAcentral.